Cercocebus atys (sooty mangabey) is the source of this 75-nucleotide microRNA precursor. Ensembl annotates it as microRNA 583. Its record names the gene MIR583. The record is from Ensembl. NCBI's taxonomy places the organism in Eukaryota, Metazoa, Chordata, Mammalia, Primates, Cercopithecidae.
AACUCGCACAUUUACCAAAGAGGAAGGUCCCAGUACUGCAGGGAUCUUAGCAGUACUGGGACCUACCUCUUUGGU